AUCCAGGUCAAUGCCAAGUAGGAAUUCAAAACCGAGACGUGUUUGCUCCAUCCAGAGCGGCGUUUUCUGCUUGCCCCGAACGCAGGUUGCUUCCAUAUCCUGGCUAUUGUAAACAGUGCUGCGAUGAACAUUGGGGUACACAUGUCUCCUUCAGUUAAAGAUGAAAUUUUAACAUGCCAAAAAAUCAAGUAACAUGCACUCAAUGAAAAGGAAGAUUCAAAUUGAGUUUCUCCAGACUCCCAGACCCACAUUCUUUCCAAAACAUCCCACCAGCUCUCUUCCAGAAAACGGAACAGAAAAUGUCUGCAGAAACCCAAUGACCAUUCCAAGCCGUGCUGCAGAGGGAGACUGCACUGAAAUUAUCUUUGUGCAUGCCGUCUGUGCCCCCAAAUUUCCAUCAAGUUUGCUCUCUGCCGGACUGGUGAUGUGUUCCCAGCUGAGGACUUGGUAGAGUUGCAGGAGAAGUGAAAAGGAAAGGCCGUGAUCUGAAGGGCGCAUCCUUGGAAUAGAAAUUCCUUGGCCACUGAAAGUCAUCCUUGUGAAUGCCGGGCCGUCCUGCAGUUCAACGAGUAGCCCUUGUUGGAGACUUAGAUGCCGGACACGGUCGUGAGUGGCCCAGAUUCUCCAGCCCAGAAGUCUGCUCCCCGGGGAGGCUCUCCACCUUCCUUCAGGGACCCACUCUCUUAGGACAUACUCGGUUCUUUGGCAGCAAGCAACAGAAGCUGAUUCUGCUGCCCUGAUGGAGAAAAACAGGUUAUUAUUGGAAAGAUAUGGGGAACUCACAAAAUUGGUGGCAGUGGGGGAUAGCCGUGCCUCACAAGGGACAGAAACCCAGCAGGGUUAGGCAGUGUGGGUGGAAGGGAGUGAUAUCUCAUCCACAUGCCGCUGCAGGAGUGAAUCAACUUGACUUUAAAAAAUUUUUUGGUUCUUUUUUGUAAACUCAGAUAGAUGCAGAGAUAAGUCUCAAACCCACUCUGUCUGUGACCCCUGACCCCACAGGUCUGGGCAAGGCCUCUGUCUUGCUUUAUUUCAUACAUUUUCCUCAUUUGAUCCAUGACUCCCACUCUCCCCUCCACAGACAACUACCCUAAAUGUGCCUGGUUUACGUUCUGGAUGUGUACGUAUGCACAUGUAUGUAAGGGCUUCCCCCGUGCCUCACCAGUAAAGAACCUGCCUGUA
Molecule: long non-coding RNA, 1179 nt
Organism: Dama dama (fallow deer)
Lineage: Eukaryota; Metazoa; Chordata; Mammalia; Artiodactyla; Cervidae
Exons: 3
Source: RefSeq, a predicted model, not a curated record